UGGGGAAUAUUGGGCAAUGGGCGAAAGCCUGACCCAGCAACGCCGCGUGAAGGAAGAAGGUCUUCGGAUUGUAAACUUCUUUUAUGAGGGACGAAGGACGUGACGGUACCUCAUGAAUAAGCCACGGCUAACUACGUGCCAGCAGCCGCGGUAAUACGUAGGGGGCAAGCGUUGUCCGGAAUGAUUGGGCGUAAAGGGCGCGUAGGCGGCCAACUAAGUCUGGAGUGAAAGUCCUGCUUUUAAGGUGGGAAUUGCUUUGGAAACUGGAUGGCUUGAGUGCAGGAGAGGUAAGCGGAAUUCCCGGUGUAGCGGUGAAAUGCGUAGAGAUCGGGAGGAACACCAGUGGCGAAGGCGGCUUACUGGACUGUAACUGACGCUGAGGCGCGAAAGUGUGGGGAGCAAAC
RNAcentral lists this ribosomal RNA (404 nucleotides) under uncultured bacterium. RNAcentral's name for it is "bacterial SSU rRNA". It matches the Rfam family "Bacterial small subunit ribosomal RNA", at positions 355 to 773 of the family's 1533-position model. The record is from RNAcentral.